ACGCACGCUGGCGGCGUGCUUCACCCCUGCCGGUUGAACGAGAAUUUUUCGAGUGAUUUCUUCGGAAUGAUCACGAAAAAGGAAGGUAGCGAACGGGUGAGUAACACGUGAGAAACCUGCCUUUCACAAAGGGAUAGCCUCGGGAAACCGGGAUUAAUACCUUAUGAAACCAAACACUCGCAUGAGAGAUUGGUUAAAGAUUUAUCGGUGUUAGAUGGUCUCGCGUCUGAUUAGCUAGUUGGUGGGAUAAAAGCCUACCAAGGCAACGAUCAGUAGCCGGAUUGAGAGGUUGAACGGCCACACUGGAACUGAGACACGGUCCAGACUCCUACGGGAGGCAGCAGUGGGGAAUUUUGCACAAUGGAGGAAACUCUGAUGCAGCGACGCCGCGUGAGUGAUGAAGGUCUUCGGAUUGUAAAACUCUGUCCUUAGUGAAGAUAAUGACAGUAACUAAGAAGCAAGCCCUGGCUAAAUACGUG
This 479-nucleotide ribosomal RNA is filed under the name uncultured bacterium. Its description in RNAcentral is "partial 16S ribosomal RNA". It matches the Rfam family "Bacterial small subunit ribosomal RNA", at positions 29 to 507 of the family's 1533-position model. The record is from RNAcentral.